CGGGCGGCAGAGGCAGCAACGCGGGAUCGCCAUGGGCCGCAAGAAGAACAAGAAGGGUCCGGGCGGCCGCGAGGGGCGGCUGGUGGUGACUUUCGACGAGGAGCGGCGGAGGGAGUACCUGACCGGCUUCCACAAGCGGAAGGUGGAGCGGAGGAAGGCGGCGCUGGAGGAGAUCAAACGGAAGCUGAAGGAAGAGCAGAGGAAAAUGAAAGAGGAGCGCCACCAGGAGUAUCUGAAGAUGCUGAGCGAGAGGGAGGAGGCGCUCGAGGAGGCUGAUGAAUUGGAGCACUUGGUGACAUCGAGGACAGAGUCUGUGAACAUCGACCACCCAAACCACAUUGUAACAGUGACCACCAUCAGUGACCUGGACCUCUCGGGGGCACGCCAGCUGGGACUGACCAACCCUGUGGGAAGAACUGGUGGAUCUGAAGAAGAGAAAGGGGAAGAGGUGGUGAACAAGCCAGUGAGAACAAUGCCCAAGAAGUCCAGAAACCCCUUACUGUCUGAAAAAAUCUGUUCUCUUACUGCCACGCUGCACAUGCAUAGCCGGAAAAAGACAAAAGGAAAGAGAUGCCAACGUGGGCAAGGUUCACGUAAAAAAAUCCAGAAGUCCAGCACAGGGCGAACCACUAAGACUCAGCGUCGGAGGCUGACUGGCAAAAUGGGCCGUGAUCAAGAUUAACAGAGAAACUUACAUUCAGACCACCAGCUGGGACAGUGCUCCACAUCUGGCCUGCUGCUUUUCGGGACCCUGUCAUUGUGGGCAAGCACCUUGUUUACAUGGCGUUCUGAUUAGCCAGAAACUCAGUUCAGCCUUUCUGUAGCCUCCUGAGCGCUGGCCAGCAUGACUAGACGCUCUACCCAUUUAUUUUUGCAAUCAUCUCCAGCUGAGUGUCUGGGUGCCACAGAACCUCUAAAACUUCUACUGAAGGUCACGUUCUCUAUUUGGCGUCACUCUUCUGUCCUUGGCCCCCCCCCUUUCAGAGCUGAUACUUGGCUUUAUCAAAGGAGAGGACCUCGGGCAGAGUGCAACAGGCACAUCAUUGUCAGGGCAAUUUGAGAGACUUGGGAGAGCUCUGCUUGCACUCCUGCAUCAGUGCCCUGGCAUUUCUGCUGUGCAGUAAAUCCUUUUUCCAUGGAGAUACGGUGUCAUCUUGCCUCCUGUGUUUCUUCACCACACAGUGCUGCACCUGAAAGCAUGGAACAUAGUGCCUUGUGGAGAGACCAUGGACAGAAGGUGACCUGUGUGCUUCCUCACCCGAGGAGUUUGCUCUGGAGCUGGGAUGGCCACUGUAAAAAUGUACUGUUUGAGAAACCUGCUGGAGUGUGGAGUGUGGAAUGUGGAUCAGUUGCCUUCCCCAGACUGCAGGCAGCCUGAGGUGGUAGCUGGGACAGAGCUGGAUGACCUCAUUGUAUUCUGGAUGAGGUGUUAAGACUGACUUCAGGUUUUGUCAUUUUACUGCCAGGUGGUCUAGAAGAAUCUCUUUUAGUUUGCUGUUUCCAUAGUCUAAUAACAUUUUUGAGCCUUUCUCAAGUGUCAGCUGAAAUCCUCAACAGCCCCUUCCGUGCUCUGAAAUCUUUCAGUUCCUGCUAGAAAAUGAGUUUUCAAAUUCUAAAAACCCAAAAAGGUG
Hirundo rustica (Barn swallow) is the source of this 1631-nucleotide RNA transcript. It is a transcript of the gene named nucleolar protein 12, with no coding region annotated. Lineage: Eukaryota; Metazoa; Chordata; Aves; Passeriformes; Hirundinidae. The transcript has 7 exons. The record is from RefSeq and is a predicted model, not a curated record.